This 726-nucleotide ribosomal RNA is filed under the name uncultured archaeon. Its description in RNAcentral is "bacterial SSU rRNA". It matches the Rfam family "Archaeal small subunit ribosomal RNA", at positions 41 to 766 of the family's 1478-position model. The record is from RNAcentral.
UGAUUAAGCCAUGCAAGUCAUAUGUUCCUCGCGAACAUGGCAUACUGCUCAGUAACACGUGGAUAACCUGCCCUUGGGUCUGGGAUAACCCCGGGAAACUGGGGAUAAUACCGGAUAACGCAUAUGUGCUGGAAUGCUUUAUGCGUAAAACGGAUUCGUCCGCCCAAGGAUGGGUCUGCGGCCUAUCAGGUAGUAGUGGGUGUAAUGUACCUACUAGCCAACGACGGGUACGGGUUGUGAGAGCAAGAGCCCGGAGAUGGAUUCUGAGACAUGAAUCCAGGCCCUACGGGGCGCAGCAGGCGCGAAAACUUUACAAUGCGGGAAACCGUGAUAAGGGAACACCGAGUGCCAGCAUCAUAUGCUGGCUGUCCAGAUGUGUAAACUACAUCUGUUAGCAAGGGCCGGGCAAGACCGGUGCCAGCCGCCGCGGUAACACCGGCGGCCCGAGUGGUGACCGUUAUUAUUGGGUCUAAAGGGUCCGUAGCCGGUUUGGUCAGUCCUCCGGGAAAUCUGAUAGCUCAACUAUUAGACUUUCGGGGGAUACUGCCAGGCUUGGAACCGGGAGAGGUAAGAGGUACUACAGGGGUAGGAGUGAAAUCUUGUAAUCCCUGUGAGACCACCUGUGGCGAAGGCGUCUUACCAGAACGGGUUCGACGGUGAGGGACGAAAGCUGGGGGCACGAACCGGAUUAGAUACCCGGGUAGUCCCAGCCGUAAACUAUGCUCG